CACACAGCGAGACCCAGGAGGCAGGAGCCAAUAAAAUCUUAAAGACACCCAAGGACCAGGCCCACACAUUCCAAAUGCUUCUUAGGGAUUGACCAACACAAAUCCAGCUGCACCUUCUUCACAUGCACAGAAACCAAAGUAAAAAUCUAAAGAGAAUAAUGAAAGGAAAAGAAAAAACAAGGAUCAGCCACCAGCAGGAAACCUCCCAAGUUCUUCAGUGCCAAAAAACAGCAGAAGCCAAGGAAGUGGCAUUUCACCCACACGGACUUCUCGAUGAUGGACCCCAGCUUGGCCUCCCACGUCUGGGAUAUUUAUGAGGUUCUGGGAAGGCGUUCAGAACUGGAGAUAAACUCUAAACCCUAUGUCUCAGAGAAGUGUGAUGGCCCCUCCUCUGCUGGUUCAGGUGCCCACCACUUGGGCACCAGAUCCCAUCCGGGGCCACAGCCCUGGCUCAGGGAGUACCUACGCUGCCUAGAUCUGAAGGUUCUCCUUAGACUCUGGGGUGCUAGUUGGCUUUGCCAAUGUUGACAUAGGGGGUAAGAGGAUAAACCCAGAAGCCAGACUGGGUUUAAAUCCUGAUGGUGGUCUUUACUGGCUGUGUGAACACAGGUAGGUUUCUUGACCUCCUUCUGCCUCAGGUCCCUCAUCUCAAAAUUGAAAGCAACAGGUAAGACCUACUUCUUGAAAUUAUUGUGAGUAUUAAAUGAGAUGGAACUGAGCAUCUAAUAAGUAUCAAUACAUUAUUUCUUGGCAUUCUAUUUUUUAUAGUGGUAAAAUAUACAUAACAUGGAAUUUUAACCAUUUAAAAAAAUGUACAGUUCUGUGGCAUUAAGUAUGCAUACACAGUUGUUACCAUCUGUCCUUCUCCAGAACUUUUCCAGGAACCCCAAAUGAAACUCUGUAUCCACAAACAACAAUCCCUAUUCCCUGUUCCUCUCCACCCCUGGUGACCACAAUUCUGCUUUCUGUUUCUCUAAGUCUGACUGCUCUCAGAAACUCACAAUAAGUGGAGUUAUCAGUAUGUGUCCUUUUGGGUCUGGCUUAGUUCACAAAGCAUAACGUCCUCAGGUUUGUCCAUGUU
Molecule: long non-coding RNA, 1081 nt
Organism: Mustela erminea (ermine)
Lineage: Eukaryota; Metazoa; Chordata; Mammalia; Carnivora; Mustelidae
Exons: 3
Source: RefSeq, a predicted model, not a curated record